Molecule: long non-coding RNA, 3970 nt
Filed under: Canis lupus familiaris (dog)
Lineage: Eukaryota; Metazoa; Chordata; Mammalia; Carnivora; Canidae
Description: lncRNA (ENSCAFG00000051106.1)
Source: RNAcentral
GUAUACACAGGUUAUAUACCAGUGUUCAGUCUACCUUUACUUGCUUAAUUAUAGAUUUUGCUGAGCUAUCUGAAGUAAUAUGAAAACUUGGACUCCAUUAUUAAUACUGGAUCAAACAGUGUCUUUCCUUUUCCUUCUCUGUUCCUUGCUGGCAUCCCUGCAGAGUCCCACUUUCUGAACUAGUGUGAGGUGUUUGGGAGAUUACCUGAAGGUUCUUCCUUAAAAGCCAUUGCUGCCUGGGGCACCUGGGUGGCUCAGUUGGUUGAGUGUUGGACUCUUGGUUUCGGCUCAGGUCAUGAUCUCAGGGUCCUGGGAUCAAGCCUCACCUCGGGCUCUAUGCUCAGUGGGUAGUCUGCUUGAGGAUUCUCUCUCCCUCUCUCCCUCUACCUCUCUCAUGCAUGUGCUCUUUCUCUCUCAAAAUAAAUAAAUCUUAAAAAAAAAAAAAAAAAAAAGCCUUGGCUGGCUUACUGAUGCCUCACUGGCCUAUUUAAGGAUGACAUACAGUCCAGUGAUUUGGGGUAAACUGCAUUAACAAGCCAGAAAGGAUGCAAUCAAAAUAACAUCACAGUAGCAACCAUGCACAUGCUCUAUUUAUUAUUUUUUAAAUUGUCACUAAGGUGAUGAAAUGACACCAGCAUGUCAUAUAACUAACAAACUAUGUGACAACUGUCUCACAUUAUCAUGUUGGUCUGAUCCUCCUCUCUUAUCACACUGCCCAACAUGGGAUGGUGUAGGAUUUUUGUUUCUAGUUUGCUCUUCUAUGUUCUUCCAAAUUCUAGAUGUCAAGAAUUCCUCUAUGUUUUAACUGAUGAUCAGUUGAACUGGCAAAUAGUGGAUAUAAUCCAGAGAGAAAGCAAUCCAAAUCCAAAUCAGCCAGGAGCAUUCAUGUAAUUGUAUAUUAAUAACCACACAAAAAAAAGCACUGCUGAAUUUUUUAUAAAACUAAAUGGGUUUGGAGGAGGACCGAGGGGCAAACCCAAGAGUUGUGGAACUUGGUUGGGGAAGGUACUCCCUAAAACAGCUCAGAUUGGGAACAGUAGGAGCAAAUGGAGUCUAACCACUAGCCAAGCAGCUGCAGCCUAGGGGAAAAAAAAUUAGGGUAGGCCUGAGCUCUUCCCUGCUAUUAUGUAGAAAAUGUGAAAUAAUAAGAGCAGCUAACUUUUCUUAAUAUCUAACAUUAAUUAUUCUAUCUGUAAUCUUCAUCACAGCCCCCUGGGAUAUAAAUAUUCUUACUGUUUUCCAGGAAAACUGAGGCAGAAAGAAAUGAAUUCAAUUCCCUAAUAUCACACACAUAGCAAGGAUCACACAUCUAGUAAGGAGCAGGAUUGAGAUUCAGUUGCAGGCAGGCUGGCUCCCAGCCUCCCCUCUCAACCACAACGCCGUAUGAUACACUCAGGCAUGGUGCUGGGCAGAUUAUAAGAGCAUUUCUUUCUUUUUUUCUUUUUAUAAGAGCAUUUCAAGGCAAGUGUGAUUAUCCCCUUUACAAAUGAACUUUAGCAAAGUUAAAGCCUUCACAGUAACACAGUAAUUGCAUAGUAAUUAAUCCCUUACACAUUUCCCCCCUCUUUUACACCUGUUUUUUUCCACGUAUAACCCAGUUUCAAUUUGAUUUUAAUAAGAAAAACAAACUUUGUCACAAAAUGCUCUGUGCUCACUUCUCUCCAACUCUUCAACCCUUUAAACAUUGUAUGACUGUUUUUCCACUUUAUGGCUGAGAAAAUUGAGAGCUAUUGAGAUUUUCACUCAUUUUAUUUGUUGACUGAACCCUGCUCUGCAACAGAUACACAGGAUAUAAGACAAUGGAUAGCGGGUAUGUUGAAAAUACACAGAAUAUUAAAGUUAGCUGACCUGAAGGUGCCAAGCUGCAACAGUUUCAUUUUCAUUGUAUACCUGUUAUCACAUUGUACUGUUUAGUUGAAGUAAUAUACCAAACACCCUCUUAGAGAAUCACGGUGUAUUAGCAUACCCGAGACCUGCACUAAAGUCUGGAUUUCAUGCAACCGAGCUUGACCCAGACACAUGAACAUCCUCUAGCACAAGCAUUCUGAGAAGCAUAUUUAAGAAAACAAUGUGUCCGACAGAAUAAAAUGCAAACCCCCCGCAUGGCAUUCAGGCUUUUCAUAAAUUGGCAAUUAUUUUUCAGGCUCAUCUCCUGCAGUUGCACCCAAUUUGUUUCUGUUCUGCAAUCUGCUGUUUUAAACAACGCUUUUAUUAGAAGUUACAUAAUGACAAGUAAUUAUCACAUCCCCUAGAUAUAAACUUGGAUUUCGAAUGCCAUAAUUGUAAUCCUUCUCCAAAGAAAAAUGUGUGGUGCAGGCUUCAUUCCGCCAAUUCAAAGGGCAUAUGAGGUAAGUGUUAUCACACACCCAUCCAGCAGAUGGAAAAACCACGGGAGUGGAAGUGCCUUACAGAGACGUCCUUAGGCCCCAAACCAGAAAGCUCCACUCCUCUUUUCCCAACCUCGACCCAAAAUUAUGAUUAUUGGUCUAAUUGUAUAAACUCCCUAUAGUUUGUCCACAAAACUGGAGUGGGGAUAUUUUAAAAGAACUCUCACCAACCAAGAAUCGAAAUUCUAAUGCAAAUAGAAAGAAUUCCCCGUGGCAUGGAAAACACACAGAAACCUACAAGAGCUAAUCACAGAGAAAAUAUUAACUGUGAUUUGUCCUAUUUUUUAAUCCCCAUGGAAUUGGAUGCAUUAGUGGGAACUAGAAUCCCAUCCCAUUCCGUUCCCCCUGGAUGCAGGCCUUCCUCAGUUGACUAGGCACCAGGGAUGGCCCUCUCUGGAUGGGAGCAGUGUUAGUUUAGCAUGCCACCCCAUGACCUGAUGGUCAAACUGGAUCCCUCCUUUGGCAAAUAAAUAUAUAGUUUGUCUCUUCUUCAACUACAACUGGGAAAAAUAAAGCUUGCCUCAACCCAAUUAAUUACUAAUUGAUCCAUAUGAAACAACAUAUUUUCUCCACAUGGAACAUUUGUUUUUCUCUGGAUAUUAUCUCCUCAUGCAGAGGACGGUGGGUCACUACUGUUAAUCUGUGCCCAGCAUAACUGAAAUUAUAUUUAUAUUCACUUUGGGGAAUUUGGCUGAAUGACAGUCAUGUCUGUAAUGAGCAAAUCAUAUGACUUUCAUCAGAUUUCCUAUUAGCUAUGUGGAGGGGCUUUGUUAGGGAAGGAUUGACAAUGGUGAAGGCUCACUAAGGUGGACCCUGGUGGAAUUUCUGAGGAACUUCAAAUAUGUGAAAACUGUCCCAUUUUCUUUAGAUGUUCUCUUAAAUAUGUAUUCUAUAAAUAUAUAUAUAUAUUUCUAGACAUCAAGUGUUUGUUGUCAUUAGUGACCAAGAAAAAGUAGCCCUCUUAAUGUACUUGUCAAAACAUUAAAUUAUCAAUUACCGUAGAAACGUAUUUCGUGAAUAGAUUUUGUUUCAAGAAACUGAAUAAUAAUGUUCAAUAUUGUUGUGCUUCUUCUGAUGUUGACUUGUCUAUUUGUAUCAAAAGCGCAUUAACUUUUUUCUACAGUAUAUACAGUUACUUUAGCUUUUCCCAGAAGCAGCUAGCAAUAGUUUUAAAAGCACAAAUUGAUGUAAAAUAUCUUGACUGUUGUCAAUCUGAAGAUCUUUUAUUUGCAUUAACCAAUGAUGUUCAGGAUCUUUUUGCAAUCAGUAUUAUUUAAAAUGGUGUAAUUUAUAUGUCUAUGAUAUAUAUUAGGUUGUUUAUUUAAAUUAUGUGUAAGUGUACUUUUUAAAAAAUGUUAUUAUAUGAACAAAAUUAUGCCUUUUAUCUCCACUCUGAGUGUGACAGGAUGGAUACUGUUCUUAUAACCUCCAUCAAUUCGGACAGCCACCUCUCCUUCUACUUCAAAAGAACCGGGCAAAUUCAUUUGUAUUUGAAUUCUAUUAUCUUUGUCUAAAGGAAACCGAACUAACCAUUUAAGAACAGGUUGUCUUUAAAGAUUUAGUAAAAGAAAAAAAAAUAAAAA